Molecule: ribosomal RNA, 118 nt
Filed under: uncultured bacterium
Lineage: Bacteria
Description: partial 16S ribosomal RNA
Rfam family: Bacterial small subunit ribosomal RNA
Source: RNAcentral
UACGUUCCCCGGUCUUGUACACACCGCCCGUCAAGUCACUUGAAUCGUCUUCACCCGAAGCCCGUGGCCCAACCCGCAAGGGAGGGAGCGGUCGAAGGUGAGGGGGGUAAGAGGGACU